AACAUCGCGCACCUGCGGGAACCUGCGGAAGGAUCAUUACAGAGUUGCAAAACUCCCUAAGCCAUUGUGAACGUUACCUAAACCGUUGCUUCGGCGGGCGGCCCGGGUCCUUCCCGGCGCCCCUCGGCCCUCGCGGGCGCCCGCCGGAGGUAAACCAAACUAUUGCAUUGUAUGGCCUCUCUGAGUCUUCUGUACUGAAUAAGUCAAAACUUUUAACAACGGAUCUCAGAUCGGAAGAGC
RNAcentral lists this unclassified non-coding RNA (240 nucleotides) under soil metagenome. Its description in RNAcentral is "partial contains 5.8S ribosomal RNA, internal transcribed spacer 2, and large subunit ribosomal RNA". The record is from RNAcentral.